GCGGGGGUCGCAUAGUGGCCAUUGCGGUGGCCUGCUAAGCCACUGGCGCUAAAGCGCCGCGUGGGUUCGAGUCCCACCCCCCGCG
This 85-nucleotide transfer RNA is filed under the name Candidatus Micrarchaeota archaeon CG1_02_55_41. RNAcentral describes it as "tRNA-Ser". It matches the Rfam family "tRNA". Rfam says of the family: Transfer RNA (tRNA) molecules are approximately 80 nucleotides in length. Lineage: Archaea; Nanobdellati; Microcaldota. RNAcentral also lists the same sequence under 3 other names. The record is from RNAcentral.